UACGUAGGGUGCAAGCGUUGUCCGGAAUUAUUGGGCGUAAAGAGCUCGUAGGCGGUUUGUCGCGUCUGCUGUGAAAACUCGGGGCUUAACCCCGGGCCUGCAGUGGGUACGGGCAGACUAGAGUGCGGUAGGGGAGACUGGAAUUCCUGGUGUAGCGGUGAAAUGCGCAGAUAUCGGGAAGAACACCCGUGGCGAAGGCGGCUCUCUGGGCCUGUACUGACGCUGAGGAACGAAAGCGUGGGGAGCGAACAGG
This 253-nucleotide ribosomal RNA is filed under the name uncultured bacterium. RNAcentral describes it as "partial 16S ribosomal RNA". It matches the Rfam family "Bacterial small subunit ribosomal RNA", at positions 524 to 776 of the family's 1533-position model. The record is from RNAcentral.